GGCUCAGGAUGAACGCUGGCGGCGUGCUUAACACAUGCAAGUCGAACGAAGCACCUCUAAUCGAAGAUUGAGAAGCUUGCUUUGAUGAUUCACCUUGAGGUGACUGAGUGGCGGACGGGUGAGUAACGCGUGGGUAACCUACCCUAUACAGGGGGAUAACAGUUGGAAACGACUGCUAAUACCGCAUAAGCGCACAGGACCGCAUGGUCUAGUGUGAAAAAACUCCGGUGGUAUGGGAUGGACCCGCGUCUGAUUAGCUAGUUGGUGAGGUAACGGCUCACCAAGGCGACGAUCAGUAGCCGACCUGAGAGGGUGACCGGCCACAUUGGGACUGAGACACGGCCCAAACUCCUACGGGAGGCAGCAGUGGGGAAUAUUGCACAAUGGGCGAAAGCCUGAUGCAGCGACGCCGCGUGAACGAAGAAGUAUUUCGGUAUGUAAAGUUCUAUCAGCAGGGAAGAAAAAUGACGGUACCUGACUAAGAAGCUCCGGCUAAAUACGUGCCAGCCGCCGC
This 514-nucleotide ribosomal RNA is filed under the name uncultured bacterium. RNAcentral describes it as "bacterial SSU rRNA". It matches the Rfam family "Bacterial small subunit ribosomal RNA", at positions 21 to 518 of the family's 1533-position model. The record is from RNAcentral.